GAUGAACGCUGGCGGCGUGCCUAAUACAUGCAAGUCGAGCGAACAGACGAGGAGCUUGCUCCUUUGACGUUAGCGGCGGACGGGUGAGUAACACGUAGGUAACCUACCUAUAAGACUGGGAUAACUUCGGGAAACCGGAGCUAAUACCGUAUAAUAUUUCGAACCGCAUGGUUCGAUAGUGAAAGAUGGCUUUGCUAUCACUUAUAGAUGGACCUGCGCCGUAUUAGCUAGUUGGUAAGGUAACGGCUUACUAAGGCAACGAUACGUAGCCGACCUGAGAGGGUGAUCGGCCACACUGGAACUGAGACACGGUCCAGACUCCUACGGGAGGCAGCAGGAGGGAAUCUUACGCAAUGAGCGAAAGCAUGACGGAGCAACGCCGCGUGAGUGAUGAAGGUCUUCGGAUCGUAAAACUCUGUUAUUAGGGAAGAACAAACGUGUAAGUAACUGUGCACGUCUUGACGGUACCUAAUCAGAAAGCCACGGCUAACUACGUG
Molecule: ribosomal RNA, 497 nt
Filed under: uncultured bacterium
Lineage: Bacteria
Description: partial 16S ribosomal RNA
Rfam family: Bacterial small subunit ribosomal RNA
Source: RNAcentral